Arvicola amphibius (Eurasian water vole) is the source of this 106-nucleotide small nuclear RNA. The record is from RefSeq and is a predicted model, not a curated record. NCBI's taxonomy places the organism in Eukaryota, Metazoa, Chordata, Mammalia, Rodentia, Cricetidae.
GUGCUAGCUUCGGCCGCACAUAUACAAAAUUGGAACAAACAGAGAAGAUUAGCAUGGCCCCAUGCACAAGGAUGACACACGAAUUCGUGAAGUGGUCCAUAUUUUU